GAUUAACGCUAGCGGCAGGCCUAAUACAUGCAAGUCGAGGGGGUAACAGGGUAGCAAUACCGCUGACGACCGGCGCACGGGUGAGUAACACGUAUGCAACCUACCUAUAACUGGGGAAUAGCCUUCCGAAAGGAAGAUUAACACCGCAUAAUAUCACGAGACGGCAUCGUUUUGUGAUCAAACCUCCGGGGGUUAUAGAUGGGCAUGCGUAACAUUAGCUAGUUGGUGAGGUAACGGCNCACCAAGGCGACGAUGUUUAGGGGGUCUGAGAGGAUGAUCCCCACACUGGUACUGAGACACGGACCAGACUCCUACGGGAGGCAGCAGUAAGGAAUAUUGGACAAUGGGGGCAACCCUGAUCCAGCCAUGCCGCGUGAAGGAUGAAGGCGCU
This 391-nucleotide ribosomal RNA is filed under the name uncultured bacterium. RNAcentral's name for it is "bacterial SSU rRNA". It matches the Rfam family "Bacterial small subunit ribosomal RNA", at positions 28 to 418 of the family's 1533-position model. The record is from RNAcentral.